This 520-nucleotide ribosomal RNA is filed under the name uncultured bacterium. Its description in RNAcentral is "bacterial SSU rRNA". It matches the Rfam family "Bacterial small subunit ribosomal RNA", at positions 366 to 895 of the family's 1533-position model. The record is from RNAcentral.
GCGCAAUGGGCGGAAGCCUGACGCAGCGACGCCGCGUGGGGGAUGACGGCCUUCGGGUUGUAAACCUCUUUCGCCAGGGACGAAGCUUUUGUGACGGUACCUGGAGAAGAAGCACCGGCCAACUACGUGCCAGCAGCCGCGGUAACACGUAGGGUGCGAGCGUUGUCCGGAAUUAUUGGGCGUAAAGAGCUCGUAGGCGGUGUGUCGCGUCGGCCGUGAAAACUUGGGGCUUAACUCUGAGCGUGCGGUCGAUACGGGCAUCACUUGAGUUCGGCAGGGGAGACUGGAAUUCCUGGUGUAGCGGUGAAAUGCGCAGAUAUCAGGAGGAACACCGGUGGCGAAGGCGGGUCUCUGGGCCGAUACUGACGCUGAGGAGCGAAAGCGUGGGGAGCGAACAGGAUUAGAUACCCUGGUAGUCCACGCCGUAAACGUUGGGCGCUAGGUGUGGGGACCAUUCCACGGUUUCUGUGCCGCAGCUAACGCAUUAAGCGCCCCGCCUGGGGAGUACGGCUGCAAGGCU